RNAcentral lists this ribosomal RNA (508 nucleotides) under uncultured bacterium. Its description in RNAcentral is "partial 16S ribosomal RNA". It matches the Rfam family "Bacterial small subunit ribosomal RNA", at positions 30 to 523 of the family's 1533-position model. The record is from RNAcentral.
AUUGAACGCUAACGGCGUGCUUAACACAUGCAAGUCGAGCGGCAGCAUGAUCUGUAGCAAUACAGAUUGAUGGCGAGCGGCGGACGGGUGAGUAACAUAUAGGAAUCUGCCUUGUAGUGGGGGAUAACCCGGGGAAACUCGGGCUAAUACCGCAUAAUCUCUACGGAGCAAAGUGGGGGACCGUAAGGCCUCACGCUAAAAGAUGAGCCUAUAUUGGAUUAGCUAGUUGGUGAGGUAAUGGCUCACCAAGGCGACGAUCCAUAGCUGGUCUGAGAGGAUGAUCAGCCACACUGGGACUGAGACACGGCCCAGACUCCUACGGGAGGCAGCAGUGGGGAAUAUUGGACAAUGGGCGCAAGCCUGAUCCAGCAACGCCGUGUGUGUGAAGAAGGCCUUCGGGUUGUAAAGCACUUUUAGUUGGGAAGAAAAGCUUAUGGUUAAUAACCAUGAGUGAUGACGUUACCAACAGAAAAAGCACUGGCUAACUCUGUGCCAGCAGCCGCCGUAA